CCGGAGCCUGAGAGUGGCAAUGCUGUGGAGAAACCAGCAAGGGCAUUAACUUCCCCUGGGGAAAAUGUGUACAAUCGUAUCAACAAAUCCAUGGAGAUAUGACAAUCACCAGGUGAGUCUGGGUCAACCAGCGUUCUCCAAGAGAGCAACCUGAUUCUGGAGCAACGGGCGCAGCACUGUGCGCAGGGUUUCCAGACAGCAGUGAUCCUCAGUAGCAGAGAUGCGGUGGGAAUAUUAUGUUGCAUCUGCUUCUGACUGCUUCCCAAGCCUUGAUUAUGACACAGAGGAGAAGACAACUUAGCCAUAGUGCCUGGCAAGGCACUGCGUCAGGUCCUGAAGGUACAAGAGUGAACAAGACUGAUAUAUUCCUUCUCCUCAUGAGAAGCAGAUGUGAAACAAAGAAUCCUGGAGGUCAGAAGUCCAAAAUCAAGAAGUUGGCCAGGUUGUGCUCCCCACGAAGGCUCAAGACAUCAGAGCUCCUGGUUCUCGUGCCUUUGGACUCCAGACUAAUACCAGUGGCCCUCCCAGUUCUCAGUCCUUCAGCAUUGGACUGAACGAUACCACCAGCUUUCCUGGUUCUCCAGCUUGCAGAUGGCAGACUGUGGGACUUUGUGGCCUCCACAACCAGGUUCUUCUGGCUGGUCUAAGAAUUCAAUUGACUUGAGACAGAUUAACAGGAGAAAAACCAAAGAAAGCUUAGUAACAUGUAUACAUGGGAGAAACCCAGGAAAACCAAGUAACUCACCAAAAUGGCUGCAGCCCUCAACUUAAAUACCAUCCUCAGCUAAAGACAAAAUAGGAUGCUGGGGGUAAGAAGAGUCAGGGACUUCAAGGGAAGGAAGGCAAAUCACAGCCCUCAGGCAUGCUUCAGUGGAAGAUUUGGGAGAAAUUAUAAUGGUCCCAGCCAAGAAUUUUUAUUAAAAAAGUUUUAAAAAGGGCCAGAAGACUUUCCCCCUUUGAAGCAGAGGAAAACCAACCACUGCAGCCCCCUGUGCCUCCCACCAUCGCCAUCAUCGCCACCACUACCUCUCAGCCUUCUAGUGUGUUCACUGGCUUUCUGAUUCUGGCAUCUUCUUGGAACUUCCUUGCCCCUUGUAACUGCUAAUGGACCUGCGCAGCGACCACGGCCUGAGAAAGGUAUGAUUACCAAGAGAUCAGAUGCCUCAGCAAUGGAAGCUUGAGCCACACCACCAGGUAAGCCAUUGAGUCCUGCCAAGGCGAGGGCUGAGGGUGAGGGGUAAUUUAGAAUGGACGGUGGAGGAGGAAGAGGAUGAGGUCCAGGUGUGGUCCUGAGAUCAAAUGCAGCACCAAGGGCUGUGCUUUAUCCUACUAACUUCCCUUUUUUGAGUUUUUGCCUCAGGAAGAAAGUCCUGUGGGAACCGUGGAGAAGGUGCUCCUCCAACUUCGGUGGAGAUGUAGAUUUGUGCAGCGCCAACAGGAGCAUGUGGUGGCCAUGAAAGUGCAUCUCUCGGAUUUCCUACUUCAGGGAGUAUAGUUGACCCACAGAUCAGCUGCUGUGCUCUGAAAUCUAUCACCACAUUCGCACUGAGGUGGUGCUUUUCCUAGGUUGCUCCCAGCAAAUGACUGAGUGUAGCAGGGAUACUUAGCAGGCCCGUACCUGUAACAUGCUGGCCUCCUCUGAAGGGCCACUUUGCCUCAGGACUGCCCAGAGGCCUGGCUGAAACUUUCUUAGAACUGUGCUGAAGUCUAAGAAGUAACUCCUGACUCUCUUAUUCCCUUCUUCGCUCCCUCCCUAGUUUCUGCUUUCUUCUCUUUCACAUGGGGCAGAACUACAUCAUGGUCUGAUGGCUCCUCCACCAGUUCCUUCUCCAUCUUCCCUCACUGGGAUUUCCUCUAAUAAAUCUCUUGCACAUCUAA
This 1878-nucleotide long non-coding RNA is filed under the name Equus asinus (donkey). RNAcentral's name for it is "lncRNA (ENSEASG00005030610.1)". Lineage: Eukaryota; Metazoa; Chordata; Mammalia; Perissodactyla; Equidae. The record is from RNAcentral.